This 158-nucleotide ribosomal RNA is filed under the name Myrothecium inundatum. RNAcentral describes it as "partial large subunit ribosomal RNA". It matches the Rfam family "Eukaryotic large subunit ribosomal RNA", at positions 99 to 261 of the family's 3401-position model. Lineage: Eukaryota; Fungi; Ascomycota; Sordariomycetes; Hypocreales; Stachybotryaceae. The record is from RNAcentral.
CGGCAACAGCUCAAAUUUGAAAUCUGGCCCCAGGCCCGAGUUGUAAUUUGCAGAGGAUGCUUUUGGUGAGGUGCCUUCCGAGUUCCCUGGAACGGGACGCCAUAGAGGGUGAGAGCCCCGUCUGGUCGGACACCGAGCCUCUGUAAAGCUCCUUCGAC